UGCUUUUUCAGAUAGUGCAAAAAAAAAAUGCUCUUUUCAGCCCGGAGCUCAUUGUUCAGUAUGAGCUUUGAUUUAUAUUAGAAGGAAUAUU
Molecule: small nucleolar RNA, 91 nt
Organism: Oryctolagus cuniculus (rabbit)
Lineage: Eukaryota; Metazoa; Chordata; Mammalia; Lagomorpha; Leporidae
Source: Ensembl